Molecule: RNA transcript, 1682 nt
Organism: Salvia splendens (bonfire salvia)
Lineage: Eukaryota; Viridiplantae; Streptophyta; Magnoliopsida; Lamiales; Lamiaceae
Exons: 6
Source: RefSeq, a predicted model, not a curated record
CAUGAGAUUUUUAAUCUACAUCGAGCUGUGUACCCAGACUUGGAGGUUAAAUCCCUAAUGUGCCCUCGCUUUUGACGUGUCCAUUGGCGGAAUACACUACAUUUUCUUCGACCGGGGGAGUGAAAAAUUGGAUUCAAAAUCUCAUUCAAUUUGCGGAGCGGCGGGUCGCGGAGAGGGGUACCACAUCCAAAAAUGGCACGGAAAGAGACCGCAAUUCCCUUUUUAGCUUUUCCUUCCCCAGCGUAAAGCACAAUACUGCGCGCUGUGCAGAUCGGGCACUGUCGUCGACUUCACAUCUGCAGGCAAAUUAUCUUGUGUGAACUGACUUGAUUGGAAGAUGAGGCAACCAAAUGCCAAUUAUGCUUGGCUAUGUCAGUUGGUUGAGGAUAUUCUGUACAUAUUUCGGAGGGAGACAUUUCUGCUUGUGCAUAGGUAUCUGAGGGCUCGCACAGGCCGUUUGAGGCGUCGAAUCCUCGAAACGGCUAAACAGUACAAUGUGAUUUGUAGGUACCUAAACAACUGCAUAGAAUUGGUCGUCUACUUCAUUUGAGUGAUGCAUACUGUGUUGCCAAUAUACGAAUGGAUCGUAACACAUUCGCACGUCUAUGUUAUCUUCUCACUGAGCGUUGUGGGAUGCAUACCGGCAAGGUCGUUGGGGUGGAGGAACAAGUUGCCAUCUUUCUAGGAGUUCUUGCGCACCACAAAAAGAAUAGGGAAGUUGGGUUUGAGUUUUGGAGGUCGGGGGCCACUGUUUCAUACUAUGUAAACAAGGUCUUAGGUGUUGUUUUGUCCUUGCAUUCAAUUUUGCCUUCAAAACCUACACCAGUCACUGACAAUUGUGCUGAUAAUCGCUGGAAAUGGUUCAAGGGUUGUCUACGUGCUUUGGAUGGCACACAUAUACCCGUGUUAGUCAGUAGCUCAGACAAACCUCGGUACCGGUCUUGGAAGGGGCAAAUAGCUACAAACACACGAGGUGCCUGUGACCGUAACAUGCAAUUUGUUUAUGUCCUGCCCGGAUGGGAGGGAUCAGCUGGGGACUCUCGUGUGUUGAGGGAUGCGCUGUCACGGGAAAAUGGACUCAAAGUCCCACAAGAUUCGGGCGACUAUGGAAGCUUUGCCUGAUUGCUCUUGUGGGAAGGGAAAAAUGGAGUUGCAAAUCGCAGGGAAGACGGCUAUGAAUCCGGGCAUGUCCUACUGGAAGUGUCCAUCUGGAGGAAAACAUUCGGGAUCAUUCAUGUGGUGCGAUGAGAAAGCAAAGUAUAACGCAGCCCCUGAAGCCCCCGUUGAGGGCCACAUUAUUCAGAAGUUCAAUGCAAUUGGGCAGGCCGCAAAAGCAGAUGUCCCACGUUCAGGUUGUGAUGCGAUAAACCCUUUUAUUUGCACCAUAUGUGGGUUGCACAAUGCCCACUCCUCCUUGACCUUGCAUCUUGUGUUUGGAUUCAUGACAUUUGUGUUUGUUCUCCUGGGUAUUUUGAUUGGGAAGGUGUUUUAAUAUACGAUUGUAAUGGCCAUUUUUUUGUCUGCAUAGUCUGGUAACUGAUAUGAAGCUAAAUGCUCUGCUUGUAAUGGAUUCUGAUUUGUCGCUUUUGUAGAAGAAGGCAUAUUUAACUACUUGUAAUGGAGACUUAUUGUACUACCUAAAAUUGCUAGCUGCUAUGAAUCUUUAUUUGGGAUAUUGCAAA